RNAcentral lists this ribosomal RNA (253 nucleotides) under Potentilla cryptotaeniae. RNAcentral describes it as "5.8S ribosomal RNA". The stretch from base 6 to 161 matches the Rfam family "5.8S ribosomal RNA". Rfam says of the family: 5.8S ribosomal RNA (5.8S rRNA) is a component of the large subunit of the eukaryotic ribosome. It is transcribed by RNA polymerase I as part of the 45S precursor that also contains 18S and 28S rRNA. Functionally, it is thought that 5.8S rRNA may be involved in ribosome translocation. The record is from RNAcentral. Lineage: Eukaryota; Viridiplantae; Streptophyta; Magnoliopsida; Rosales; Rosaceae.
UAAACGACUCUCGGCAACGGAUAUCUCGGCUCUCGCAUCGAUGAAGAACGUAGCGAAAUGCGAUACUUGGUGUGAAUUGCAGAAUCCCGUGAACCAUCGAGUUUUUGAACGCAAGUUGCGCCCGAAGCCACUAGGCCGAGGGCACGUCUGCCUGGGCGUCACACGUCGUUGCCCCUCCCAACCCCUUCGGGAGUUGGCUGGGACGGAUGAUGGCCUCCCGUGUGCUCCGUCGCGCGGUUGGCAUAAAUAGCAA